CGGGACCGGCCAAAAGCGGCUUGCCGUUUUGGCGAAAUCAAAUCUCCCUCCUCAUUCGAUGCUCAGACAAGGCUUUGGGCGUUAUUUUUGGCCACUGCCUUGGAGGGAGUAAAAAUGGCGAAGAGGCGAGACAGUGGAGUCGUGCGGAGUUUGGUUCGACGAUAAGCCCGCGGCUAUACAUCCAUUCAAAUUGACCAAUUCAGCAGCUUCGACUAAGUUCGCCAAUCUAUCGCUAUUUCCGUCCUCUUCUUCAUCGCAAUUCCCUCCAUCUCCUUAUCCAAAUACAUACAGUACGGAAUCACAUGCACAGCAGAAGCCUUGAUCAAAACUGAUUUGAAUUUCCAAGAAAUCGUCGGUCUAAAUGGAUCCUUCCUUGAUCAUUUUCGCUUGUGUUGUAUCCCAAGAUUUGAUUUGAAGAACUCAACUGAAGUUGGUGAUGGUUGUGCCAUAUUUAAAAACUAAGAGCUGCUUUUAUGUUUAGUGCUGUGCUGUAUGAGUUCAUCCUUUUUCUCUCUCUUGCUAGCCAAGGUAUGCUCCAGUAAUUAAAAUGGCUAUCUGAUCCAUUUUGUCUUCAUUGUUUGGGAAGUAGUUAAAAAUGAGGCUUUGGUGAGUGGAUUAAGGAAAUUCCGCUGGCAAGUUUUUUCUUAUGAUCGGUGCAGGGGAUAAUAUUACUCUUUCUGGGAGUAUUCUUUAACAACUUUUGCUUAGUUCAGUUUAAAUUAAUGGAGUUCCUUGGCCAUUUGCCUUAAUCGAUCUGAUUCGAAUUUUUUUUUAUUUAAUCUGCAUUUCAAAAAAAUAUAAAUUAAUGUUUAUUAAAUUUUAUUGAAUAUAUUUAAAAUGAUAUUUUUCAAUUUCACACCACCAUGCUUCUUGCUAUGCUAGGGAGCCAAGAGUGGCACAAUUUGGCCUCUUCCCUCUCCAAACCCAGUUAAAAAGAGUCAAAGAUGGGCUGGGCCUUGCUCUAGGCCCUAGCCUGACCUGACUGUUUGAACCUAUAUAAUUAUCAAAUUUUAUUAUAUGAUACUGACAAAAAACUAUCAUAUGAGAAAAAGGAUUCUAUUUUUAAAUAUUUUACUUUCAAAUUUAAGCGUUAAUUUCACUGAGAACUUUCAAUUGUGAAUCCACCAUCUCUCUCUCUCAAAAAAAAAACAAAAAAAAAAGUAAAAAGCGAGUCCAUCAGCCAGCAAAUGGCCCAACGGCCAGUACUGCUGUACUAAUUGUGUUGACGUACUGUGUGCCAGGGGAACUGAAAAUUUUGCCUUCAUUUCAUAGCCACACAAUCUCGCACGGCACCAGGAAGUGACCAAACCAUCUACAGCCAACAUGAUCAUCAAUUCUCAUCUCACUUCC
This 1350-nucleotide long non-coding RNA is filed under the name Manihot esculenta (cassava). RNAcentral describes it as "long non-coding RNA (MESC_LNC000665)". Lineage: Eukaryota; Viridiplantae; Streptophyta; Magnoliopsida; Malpighiales; Euphorbiaceae. The record is from RNAcentral.